CACAGAUGCGCUUGUUGGGGGAAACCUUGGAGAUUCACGGCAAGGCGUAAAGCCUGGGGCUUCCAGCGAUACUCUGGGCAGGGAUGGAAGCCUAGAUGCCUCACCGCAAGGAGCGGCCGAGUGGGUCCUCGCUUCACACACACGGCAGCACCGGCACCGCGGAGGGAGGAAACAUGUCCAGGCUGUCUCUCACCCGGUCGCCUGUGUCUCCCCUGGCUGCCCAGGGCAUCCCCCUGCCAGCCCAGCUCACCAAGUCCAAUGCACCUGUGCACAUCGAUGUGGGUGGCCACAUGUACACCAGCAGCCUGGCCACGCUCACCAAGUACCCUGACUCCAGGUAAGAGUAAGCCCCUUGAAACAUCAGGCAUGUGUGGGUCAGGGCAGCAUCUGUAAUCUGCUGCCUGAGGGGUGGGGUCUCUCCCCCCUGUCACUCCACCCACCAGGGUCUCCAGGGUGCACAAGCUGACACAGCCUGAGGGAGCUAGGGUUGGGGAGUCCAAGUCUGCCUGUUGAAAGCUGCUAUGCACAGAGGCUUGUGACCCUGACUUGGCGGCAUUGGUAGUGCAAGGUGGAGCUCCUGACCCACCUGCAGGGGACUAAGGCUUAUUCAGAGCCAGCCCUGCCUGAGCCUGCUGGCAGCCGGCAGGGGAGUCUCACGUACAGCGUGCUGCAGAGUCUCACGUGCCUUCAAGUCUCAUGUGCAGCGGGCUGGGGAGUCUCGCGUACCUUCAAGGUUCCUCUGGAGCAAGACUUAGGCCUGGCCUCUGCAGGGGGUCAUUUGUGAGUGAUACUGAGUAGGUAAGUCUUG
RNAcentral lists this small RNA (808 nucleotides) under Pongo abelii (Sumatran orangutan). RNAcentral's name for it is "retained intron". Lineage: Eukaryota; Metazoa; Chordata; Mammalia; Primates; Hominidae. The record is from RNAcentral.